UUUUUUUUUUUUUAAAUAAAAAUUUGUGCUUUCGUUUUGUUUAAUUCCUCUAAUUUGCUUUUUCUCAUAGCUGUCUUUGCUGUUUAUGAUAGUUUUAUUUAUUGAAAUUUGAUUUUUUUGUUCUGUUGUGAAUGAGUGUGUUUGGUUUUGGAGUUCACUGUUUAUUCUUUUGUUUUCUCUUUGUUGUGUAUGAGAGUCUUGAGAUGUCAUUACUAUUAUGGAGUUUCUUAAAGAAAGUAUUAUUAUUACUUUUUCUAUUUCUCCAAUUUUGUGAUAUAUAAACAGAGUUUUUCUUAAUUGAUAAUGAAAUUUUUGUGAUAUCAUGGAAUGAUCAUUGUUCCAGAGUUAAGAAACGAAUGAAGCUUAUCUUAGAAUUGUAAUUUAUCCUUGUGAGCUUAUAGAUAAUAGUGCAAUUCAAAAGUUUACAUGUUUAGGUGCCCCUUCGAGGACUAUCAUUUAUCACCAUAUGCAUGCAUUUUCUUUGCUGCCAUCGCAUAGAAUUAAUUCUGGGACUCCUCAAUUACAUCUCUUUAAGGUUAUUCAUUACAUUUUGCUAGAAAGCUUGAAAGAGUAUGUUCAGGUAGAAAUCUAUUCCUCAACCUUAUUUUGUUAAUGCUAGGAGAGUUUUUGUGGAUGAUAGAGUUUAUUUAAUGAAAUAUAUUUUUCUUUUUUU
RNAcentral lists this unclassified non-coding RNA (673 nucleotides) under Hevea brasiliensis (rubber tree). Lineage: Eukaryota; Viridiplantae; Streptophyta; Magnoliopsida; Malpighiales; Euphorbiaceae. The record is from RNAcentral.